AUACAGUUGUGGAAAACUGAUCUAAAAAAGCAUGCAAGAGAUCAGCAAAAUCAGUUUUCUGAUGGAUGUAAAUGGCCCUCUAAUAGAAAUGGAAAAGCCGCUUUCUCAAGACAUUUGGGACUGACUUUGAGAGGGAGAGCUGAGAACAGAUGCAUUUAUCCUGCAGGAAGAUUCUUUUUCAAACCAAGAGAAGAUAAAGAUGUCUUAGCCUGGGAACCCAAGAUGCAAUCACAUUUUCAAAUCCAACUUUAAAUGCACCAUCAGGUCUACAAUCGAGGAGGUGUGAAUACGUGUGCUAUUGAUUAAUUUCAGCUUUGCUUGAUAUCACUCCAAGUUUCCAAUAACUGACUAUAGUUGCCAUUCCUGGACAGGGCAGGUAAUGAGAAGUGUGCACUUCGCUUUUUUUUUUCUUUUGUCUCCAGAGCUAAAUAUACACAUUCACCA
Molecule: long non-coding RNA, 444 nt
Filed under: Numida meleagris (helmeted guineafowl)
Lineage: Eukaryota; Metazoa; Chordata; Aves; Galliformes; Numididae
Description: lncRNA (ENSNMEG00000001797.1)
Source: RNAcentral